AGGAAUUUUCCGCAAUGGGCGCAAGCCUGACGCAGCAACGCCGCGUGGAGGAUGAAAUAUCUUGGUAUGUAAACUCCUUUCGAUGGGGAAGAUAAUGACGGUACCCAUAGAAGAGGCCCCGGCUAACUUCGUGCCAGCAGCCGCGGUAAUACGAGGGGGGCAAGCGUUGUUCGGAAUUAUUGGGCGUAAAGGGUGCGUAGGCGGUUUGACAAGUCAUCUGUGAAAUCUCUGGGCUCAACCCAGAGUCUGCAGGCGAAACUGUCGGGCUUGAGUAUGGGAGAGGUGAGUGGAAUUUCCGGUGUAGCGGUGAAAUGCGUAGAUAUCGGAAGGAACACCUGUGGCGAAAGCGGCUCACUGGACCAUAACUGACGCUGAUGCACGAAAGCUAGGGGAGCAAA
RNAcentral lists this ribosomal RNA (398 nucleotides) under uncultured bacterium. Its description in RNAcentral is "bacterial SSU rRNA". It matches the Rfam family "Bacterial small subunit ribosomal RNA", at positions 357 to 772 of the family's 1533-position model. The record is from RNAcentral.